Molecule: ribosomal RNA, 1372 nt
Filed under: uncultured bacterium
Lineage: Bacteria
Description: bacterial SSU rRNA
Rfam family: Bacterial small subunit ribosomal RNA
Source: RNAcentral
GAUGAACGCUGGCGGCGUGCCUAAUACAUGCAAGUCGAGCGAACAGACAAGGAGCUUGCUCCUUUGACGUUAGCGGCAGACGGGUGAGUAACACGUGGGUAACCUACCUAUAAGACUGGGAUAACUUCGGGAAACCGGAGCUAAUACCGGAUAAUAUUUCGAACCGCAUGGUUCGAUAGUGAAAGAUGGUUUUGCUAUCACUUAUAGAUGGACCCGCGCCGUAUUAGCUAGUUGGUAAGGUAACGGCUUACCAAGGCGACGAUACGUAGCCGACCUGAGAGGGUGAUCGGCCACACUGGAACUGAGACACGGUCCAGACUCCUACGGGAGGCAGCAGUAGGGAAUCUUCCGCAAUGGGCGAAAGCCUGACGGAGCAACGCCGCGUGAGUGAUGAAGGUCUUCGGAUCGUAAAACUCUGUUAUUAGGGAAGAACAUACGUGUAAGUAACUAUGCACGUCUUGACGGUACCUAAUCAGAAAGCCACGGCUAACUACGUGCCAGCAGCCGCGGUAAUACGUAGGUGGCAAGCGUUAUCCGGAAUUAUUGGGCGUAAAGCGCGCGUAGGCGGUUUUUUAAGUCUGAUGUGAAAGCCCACGGCUCAACCGUGGAGGGUCAUUGGAAACUGUAAAACUUGAGUGCAGAAGAGGAAAGUGGAAUUCCAUGUGUAGCGAUGAAAUGCGCAGAGAUAUGGAGGAACACCAGUGGCGAAGGCGACUUUCUGGUCUGUAACUGACGCUGAUGUGCGAAAGCGUGGGGAUCAAACAGGAUUAGAUACCCUGGUAGUCCACGCCGUGAACGAUGAGUGCUAAGUGUUAGGGGGUUUCCGCCCCUUAGUGCUGCAGCUAACGCAUUAAGCACUCCGCCUGGGGAGUACGACCGCAAGGUUGAAACUCAAAGGAAUUGACGGGGACCCGCACAAGCGGUGGAGCAUGUGGUUUAAUUCGAAGCAACGCGAAGAACCUUACCAAAUCUUGACAUCCUUUGACAACUCUAGAGAUAGAGCCUUCCCCUUCGGGGGACAAAGUGACAGGUGGUGCAUGGUUGUCGUCAGCUCGUGUCGUGAGAUGUUGGGUUAAGUCCCGCAACGAGCGCAACCCUUAAGCUUAGUUGCCAUCAUUAAGUUGGGCACUCUAAGUUGACUGCCGGUGACAAACCGGAGGAAGGUGGGGAUGACGUCAAAUCAUCAUGCCCCUUAUGAUUUGGGCUACACACGUGCUACAAUGGACAAUACAAAGGGCAGCGAAACCGCGAGGUCAAGCAAAUCCCAUAAAGUUGUUCUCAGUUCGGAUUGUAGUCUGCAACUCGACUACAUGAAGCUGGAAUCGCUAGUAAUCGUAGAUCAGCAUGCUACGGUGAAUACGUUCCCGGGUCU